This 253-nucleotide ribosomal RNA is filed under the name uncultured bacterium. RNAcentral's name for it is "partial 16S ribosomal RNA". It matches the Rfam family "Bacterial small subunit ribosomal RNA", at positions 524 to 776 of the family's 1533-position model. The record is from RNAcentral.
UACGUAGGCAGCGAGCGUUGUUCGGAAUUACUGGGCGUAAAGAGUGUGUAGGCGGUGCUCCCAGUCUGUUGUGAAAUCUCCCGGCUUAACUGGGAGGGUGCAGCGGAAACUAGAGUGCUAGAGGGUGGGAGAGGUAAGCGGAAUUCCUGGUGUAGCGGUGAAAUGCGUAGAUAUCAGGAGGAACACCAAUGGCGAAGGCAGCACUCUGGGACGUGACUGACGCUGAGACGCGAAAGCGUGGGGAGCAAACAGG